CUAUAUGAGAUAUAGACACCUAGCCCACUAAGUUCCACUAAUUGUUAGUGGAAUAUUAGGUGUUGAGAUUUGGCAAUUGAAUUGCAUGCAUUUUUGCAUGUAAUUAGGCUAUAAAUAGAGAUGUUUUCAAAUGUUGAAGGACUUUUGCCUCUUUUAUCAUUUUCAUAAUCUCAACAAAAGAAAAAAGAAAGCUUCCAAUCUCAUUUUAUCUCCAUUACUUUCUACACCAAAAUUGGGUCCCACAACCCGGUUCUUUGUCUAGAGGAUAGCAGUUGAGUACUAGUGGUGGUCUCGGGUAGAAUUGGUAAGAAGACAUCAAACCUUUUGAAAGCUUCAAAGGUAAUACUUCUUAAAACCCUAAUUUGAUUAGUUUAUGGUUACAUGUUAAUUGUGGCAAUUAGGGUAGAAAUUCGAUUCUUUUUCCGCUGUGCAUGACUUAGUUCUAUCAUGUGGUAUCAGAGCAUGCUUCAUUUUUACCCAAUUGCAUGUGGUGGGUUCAUAUUUAUUAGAUAAAUUUUGGUUUGAACUAAAAUGGAUAUAUUAUGAUUUUGGCUCUAGAUUAAGUGUUUUUGUUCUAAUUAUUGUAAUUAGCCUUGUUAAUGGCUUAUUUUUAUUGUUGCAAAGUGUUUGUAAUUUUUUUAAAAAAUAAAAAAAAGUCAUUAGAGUUGAAGCUAGGCUGUAAUUGGUUCAACCGGGUGAGAGAAUUGAAAAAAAUGAAGAAAAGAAGGUCACAGACCCGAAAACCCGGUUUUGACCCGCUUCGCGACCCGCACGCGCCCGCAUGCCCGCGCGCCCUUUGCGCCGCGCGCCCUCCUGCGUCCGCACGCGCCGCGCGCCCGCGCGCCCUCCUGCGCCGCGCGCCCUCCUGCGCCGCGCGCCCUCCUGCGCCGCGCGCCCGCAUGUGUCCGCGCGCCCGCAUGCGCCCGCACGCCCGCCUUCGCCCGCGCGCCUGCCUUCGCACGACCCGUGUGCGCCUGGGCCGGUUCAAGCCAAUAAAUUUGGUUUUUGGGCCGGUUCAAGCGGUUCGGUUGGUUUUUUAGUCGGUUCGAAAUUUUUGGGAGUGGUUCUGUACUACACCAAAUUAAUUAUGUAAUAAUUUAGCACUUAGCUUAAUUUAGGAGCCAAAAAUCAGUCCAUUUUAGGGUGUUUUUUUUAUUUAUGCAUGUGAUGUAUGAUUAAAUUACUUUAAAUUUGUAUGUGCAUUUUGAAUGUCAUAUAGAUUUAAAAUCCCACCAUAGGUUAACAUGUUCAUGCAUUAAAAUGUAUGAUAUAAAGGUUAUAUUGUAUUGUAUGCAUGUUAAUUGAUUAAUAUGGAAAUUAAUUAAUAUGAUUAAUUAAUUAUUUAAUUAAUUAAGUUAUUCUUGAUUAAAUAUGAUUUAAUCAAAUUAAUUAAUUAUUGUUUGAUUUAAUUUAAUUAAAUAUGAUUUAAUUAAAGUUAAAUAAAUUAAAAUCCAUAUUAAUUGAUUGUUUUUAUUAUAUAUUGAUAAAAUGAUUGAUUAAGUUUAAAAGUUUUUAUAAGUGUUAUAAAAUAAAUUAGACUUUUAAAAUCAAUAACAAAGAUUAAAUGCAUGCUCACUUAGGUUAAACAUAUCUUCCAUUUUUCAUAGAAAUAGGUCGAUAUCUUGUAAAACUGGUUACAAAAGGCUCACCUGGUUCAAUCUUGUCAACAAGUCAGAUAAGAUGACUAAGGUUGGAGGUUCUUAAGUUGACGGUUUACGGAACACCUCCUACCUGGAGAUCGUAAUCAGUUCUUGAGCCUAGUUAACCUAGUUUUAUGAGCAUUCGUGAGAGGUGUGAGGUAAUAAAAAUGGUUUUUCACCUAGACAUCAUAGGUUAAAAUCCUGUAUAAUGGUUAUACUUGGAUGUUUUAUCUAGACUUAAGAUUUGUUUAAGUUAGCCUAAAUAUAAAUCUUGAAGUUUGGAUUACCCUAUUUUUUUCUUUUAGAACACUUCAACUAGAGAAAAAUAAUGUAUUUUAGCUCUAGUGUCCCUAAGAGUUCACACCGUGAGGUCCAUGCAGGGCUUUGUGCCGUGCAUAGGAGCGGCCUCCCUUCGGAGAGUGUUUGCAUGGAUCAAAAUCAAGGUGAAUAGGGGAAGUAGUUCAUAGUAAGUGGGUGAGGGAUUUGUGGCAGCACAUCCCACGGUCUCUUCCAUUAGGUCGCACCGUGAGAUUUCUAUAAUAUGCCUGCUUGUCUGCCCUGGAGCGACGUUCCCUUCGGAGGGUUGUAUUAUAGGAUUCGGAACACCGCGAACUCCAAAACUGGAUAGGAUUUCUUAGAUUAGUUUUCAUAAAUGAUUCUAAUCUAUAAAAUCUGAAAAUGGUGGGUAACACUUACAAGAAUUACUAAGUUGUUAGUAUAUUCUUGACUAAAGUAGCGAUAACUAAGUGCUAUAAAGAAUAAAGAGUUAUUCUUGAGAUAGCAUCUAGUCAAGAUUGUCUUGGUUCAAAGGAGGAAUAAUCAACUACCCUUCGGAGAAGGUUGUUCUAAACCUUUGAAAUAUUGUUGCAAAAUACAAAUAAUGAAAGGGUACAUUAUUAGUAAUUGCUAAAUUAGAUUGGAUAUUUUUUAUGAUUAUAGUUUUUUCUUAAAAAGAAUAUGUUUGUUUUUCAGCAUGAAUAGCUCAAUAGUUCAACUUUUAGCUUCCGAAAAACUUAAUGGCGAUAAUUAUGCGGCUUGGAAAUCAAAUCUUAACACAAUACUAGUGGUUGACGAUUUAAGAUUUGUCUUAACUGAGGAAUGUCCUCAAAACCCUGCCUCUAAUGCUAACCGAACUAGUCGGGAUGCAUAUGAUCGAUGGAUAAAAGCUAAUGAAAAAGCCCGUGUUUACAUUCUUGCCAGCAUGUCUGAUGUAUUGGCAAAGAAACAUGAAUCCUUAGCCACGGCUAAAGAGAUUAUGGAUUCAUUAAGGGGAAUGUUUGGGCAACCAGAAUGGUCCUUAAGACACGAGGCAGUCAAAUACAUUUACACUAAGCGUAUGAAGGAAGGGACCUCUGUUAGAGAACAUGUUCUGGACAUGAUGAUGCACUUCAACAUCGCUGAAGUGAAUGGUGGUCCCAUCGAAGAGGUUAAUCAAGUUAGUUUUAUCUUAGAGUCUCUUCCGAAGAGCUUCAUUCCAUUCCAAACGAAUGCGUCUUUGAACAAGAUAGAAUUUAACUUGACAACCCUUCUGAAUGAACUCCAGCGAUUCCAAAACCUAACUAUGGGUAAAGGAAAACAAGUGGAAGCAAAUGUUGCUACCACAAAAAGAAAAUUUAUAAGAGGAUCGUCCUCUAAAACCAAAGCUGGACCCUCAAAACCUAAUGCUCAAAUAAAAAAGAAGGGAAAGGGAAAGACUCCCAAACAGAACAAGGGUAAGAAAGCUGCAGAAAAAGGUAAGUGUUACCAUUGUGGCCAAAACGGGCACUGGUUAAGAAACUGCCCAAAAUACCUUGCAGAAAAAAAGGCAGAGAAGGAAACACAAGGUAAAUAUGAUUUACUAGUUGUAGAAACAUGUUUAGUGGAAUAUGAAAAUUCUACCUGGAUACUAGAUUCAGGAGCCACUAACCAUAUUUGCUUCUCAUUUCAGGAAAAUAGUUCUUGAAAAAGCUUUCAGAAGGUGAGAUCACUCUCAAGGUUGGAACAGGAGAGAUGGUCUCAGCUUCAGCAGUGGGAGUUUUAAAGUUGUUUUUUAGAGAUAGAUAUGUCAUACUUAAGAAUGUCUUAUAUGUACCUCAAAUGAAAAGAAAUUUAAUAUCUAUCUCUUGUAUUUUGGAACAAAUGUAUAGAAUAUCUUUUGAAAUUAAUGAAGCGUUCGUUUUCUAUAAAGGUAUUCUAGUUUGUUCUGCUAUACUUGAAGACAACUUAUAUAAGUUAAGACCAACUAGAGCAAAUUUUGUCUUAAAUACUGAAAUAUUCAGAACAGCUGAAACUCAGAAUAAAAGACAAAAAGUUUCUUCUAAUGCCUAUUUAUGGCACUUAAGACUUGGUCACAUAAAUCUCAAUAGGAUUGGGAGAUUGGUUAAAAGUGGGCUUCUAAGUCCGUUAGAAGAUAACUCUUUACCUCCUUGUGAAUCUUGUCUUGAAGGAAAAAUGACCAAGAGAUCUUUUACUGGAAAAGGUCUAAGAGCCAAAGGACCCUUAGAGCUCGUACAUUCGGACCUUUGUGGACCAAUGAAUGUCAAAACUCGAGGUGGAUAUGAAUAUUUCAUUAGCUUCAUUGAUGAUUAUUCAAGGUAUGGUCAUAUUUACCUAAUACAUCAUAAGUCUAAUAGUCUUGAAAAGUUCAAAGAAUAUAAGGCUGAAGUAGAAAACGAAUUAGGUAAAACAAUAAAAAUACUUCGAUCAGAUCGAGGUGGAGAGUAUAUGGACUUACGAUUCCGAGACUAUUUAAUAGAAAAUGGAAUCCAGUCACAACUCUCUGCACCUAGUACACCUCAACAGAACGGUGUAUCAGAAAGAAGAAACUGGACCUUGUUAGACAUGGUUCGCUCUAUGAUGAGUUUUUCUCAGAUGUCAGAUUCUUUUUGGGGAUAUGCUUUAGAAACAGCUGCUUAUAUUUUGAAUAAUGUUCCCUCUAAAAGUGUUUCAGAAACACCUUAUGAGCUAUGGAAAGGGCGUAAAGGCAGUUUACGUCAUUUUAAAAUUUGGGGUUGUCCAGCACAUGUGUUGGUACAAAAUCCAAAGAAAUUGGAACAUCGUUCAAAAUUAUGCUUUUUUAUAGGUUAUCCAAAAGAAUCAAGAGGUGGUUUGUUUUAUGAUCCUCAAGAAAAUAAAAUACCACAUCAGGGAUCAUCAACCUUGUAGUAAACUAGUAUUUAAAGAAAUUUCCAAAAGUGCUAUAGAUAAAACCUAGUUCAUCCACUAAAGUAGUUGAUAAGACUAGGAAAUCUGGUCAAUCACAUCCUUCUCAACAGUUGAGAGAGCCUCGACGUAGUGGGAGGGUUGUUCAUCAGCCUGAUCGCUAUUUGGGUUUAAUUGAAACUCAAGUCGUCAUACCUGACGAUGGCAUAGAGGAUCCAUUAACCUAUAAACAGGCAAUGAAAGAUGUAGAUCGUGACCAAUGGAUCAAAGCCAUGGACCUCGAAAUGGAGUCUAUGUACUUUAAUUCUUUCUAGACUCUAGUAGAUCAACCAAAUGACGUAAAACCUAUUGGUUGUAAAUGGAUCUACAAGAGAAAACGAGACCAUGCCGGUAAAGUACAGACUUUUAAGGCUCGACUUGUGGCAAAGGGUUAUACCUAGAGAGAGGGAGUAGACUAGAGGAAACUUUCUCUCCCGUUGCCAUGUUAAAGUCAAUUAGAAUACUCUUAUCCAUCGCCACUUUUUAUGAUUAUGAAAUUUGGCAGAUGGAUGUCAAGACAGCUUUUUUGAACGGUAAUCUUGAAGAGAGCAUCUAUAUGUCUCAACCAGAGGGGUUUAUAAAACAAGAUCAAGAACAAAAGGUUUGUAAGCUUAAAAAAUCCAUUUAUGGAUUAAAACAAGCUUCUAGAUCCUGGAAUAUAAGAUUUGAUAUUGCGAUCAAAAUCUUAUGGCUUUGAACAAAAUGUUGACGAGCCUUGUGUUUACAAAAGGUCGUCAAUUCCAUUAUAGCAUUUUUUAGUCUUAUAUGUAGAUGAUAUUCUACUUAUUGGAAAUGACGUAGGAUAUCUUACUGAUAUCAAGAAAUGGCUAGCUAUGCAAUUUCAAAUGAAAGAUCUGGGAGAUGCACAAUACGUUCUCGGAAUCCAAAUUGUUCGAAACCGUAAGAACAAAACACUAGCCAUGUCUCAAGCAUCUUACAUAGACAAAAUGUUGUCUAGAUAUAAAAUGCAGAAUUCCAAAAAGGGUCUGCUGCCGUACAGAUAUGGAAUUCAUUUGUCAAAGGAACAAUGUCCUAAGACACCUCAAGAAGUUGAGGAUAUGAGAAAUAUUCCCUAUGCUUCCGCUGUUGGAAGUUUAAUGUAUUCAAUGUUAUGUACUAGACCUGACAUUUGCUACUCAGUAGGGAUGGUCAGUAGGUAUCAAUCCAAUCAUGGACGUGAUCACUGGACAGCCGUUAAAAACAUUCUACAUGCUCAUGUAUCGUACAAAGGAUAUGAUCCUUACUGGAUACACUGAUUCGGAUUUCCAAACUAAUAAAGAUGUUAGAAAGUCUACAUCAGAAUCAGUAUUUACUCUAAAUGGAGGAGCAGUAGUUUGGAGAAGCAUAAAGCAAACUUGUAUAGCUGAUUCCACAAUGGAAGCUGAUCAUUUUACAAAAGCCCUCACGGCUAAAGUGUUUGAGGGUCACCUACACAGUUUAGGUGUACGAUGUUUGUAAACUAGGACAAGUGGGAGACUUAUUGGCCAUGUUUCAUAUAUAUUCUCUCACACCACAUCUCUCAUACCACUAGGAAUUUUAGUCCAAGUGGGAGUUUGUUGGAAUUUUUUGUCCUAAAACUCGUAGUUUGUAAAUCAUAUUCUAUUCAAUAAAGUUGUUAUUGAGAAAUUAAAUAUUAUAAUCUUAAAUCCAAUAAAUCAAAGUUCCAAGGCUAUUUUUUGAAUAAACUUGAACUUUAUGUGUAAACAUAAACGUGGAUCAAGUUCGAGUAUAUAGCCUAAAUAGUCUAUAGUAUAUGAAAUAAAGGUUGGGCGCCUUAUUUUGAGAGACUAUGGAUGCGGCCCACUUUGUAGUACAAACGAUGUGAUCCUAAUCGUUCAUGUAGAGACAUGAAAGUGGGGGCAUCCUAUGUAAAAUGUUUACAUAAGACUGAACCAUGAAUUAGUCAUUUUUACGUUAUAACAUCGUUUACUGUUUAAAACUGACUAUCUCAAUUAUUGAUGACCUAGGUAACUUAGUCUUAAUCCUGAGUUAACUAUGAACUCCUGUUCAUACGAGAUUAUCCUUAGAUCUGCAUAGGUGAGGGCAGCUCAUCAGCGUUGGCCCAAUAAGCCUCCCAUUUCAGGGGUAAGAUCGGGUGGAUAGCUGGGAACAUAGGGUACAAGAUGGAAUUCACUCCUACCCGCUUUAGGGUUAGUAGAUAGGUUGCUCUCUUAAGCACUAAAUCCAAGUCUUGAACAAGGGGCCCCACCCUCUCAUUGGCCCGAGAGGGAUUAAGUUUAUAGGUUGAACCUUAAACCAAUUGUUCAAUAGUGGAUUAGUGGGACUUAAGGAGCAAGAUGUAAUCUUGGGGGUAAAACGGUAUUUUGACCCAGCCAAGGUUACGAGCAACCUGUGAAGGAUUAACUUACUGAUUAUGGUUUUAUCAAAUGGACACAAAUAUAUCUAUAGUGAGGGGAGUGCAACUACGGGACUUUAGUGGAAUGACCCGUUAGUUAACGAAUGUUGAUUAACUCGGUUUAAAAGAGUUUAGCUAGUUAAUCUUGAAUCGUUGGAGCCCAUGAUCUAUAGGUCCAUUAGGUUCCUCUGCUAGCUCAUAUGGAUUAAACUUAGAACAGUGUGAUGAAAUAAGUCGAAUUGUUCGAAUUGGGAGAAGAAAGGAAAACCGACAUAUACAGUGAUAUAAUCGUCGAUCUUCUAAUUAGAAAUAGAGCUUUAUGUUUUACAUACUAUAAGUAUGAAUGCGGAUUCAUACUAAGAAGCUCGAAAUUGGUCAAAAAUAGUAAAAAGUCAAAAUGUUGACUUUUGACUUUGAAAAGUCAAACUUUGACCGGCCUUAUAUUCAAAUGUGAUUUGAAUUUUGGAAAAAUGAAUGCGGAUUCAUGCUCGGGAGGUUGGAAUUAGUCAAGACGGACAAAAUGGUAAAAAGUCAAAAUAUUGACUUUUGACUUAGAAAAGUCAAAGUUUGACUUUUGACUAGAAAAAUCUAAUGACCAUUUUACCCUUGGACUAAGUUAGUGGGAAAAUCCAACAUUUUGUUGGAUAAUCCCACUAACUCUUAGUGGGAUAUGUGGCUAUAUGAGAUAUAGACACCUAGCCCACUAAGUUCCACUAAUUGUUAGUGGAAUAUUAGGUGUUGAGAUUUGGCAAUUGAAUUGCAUGCAUUUUUGCAUGUAAUUAGGCUAUAAAUAGAGAUGUUUUCAAAUGUUGAAGGACUUUUGCCUCUUUUAUCAUUUUCAUAAUCUCAACAAAAGAAAAAAGAAAGCUUCCAAUCUCAUUUUAUCUCCAUUACUUUCUACACCAAAAUUGGGUCCCACAACCCGGUUCUUUGUCUAGAGGAUAGCAGUUGAGUACUAGUGGUGGUCUCGGGUAGAAUUGGUAAGAAGACAUCAAACCUUUUGAAAGCUUCAAAGGUAAUACUUCUUAAAACCCUAAUUUGAUUAGUUUAUAGUUACAUGUUAAUUGUGGCAAUUAGGGUAGAAAUUCGAUUCUUUUUCCGCUGUGCAUGACUUAGUUCUAUCAGCACACACACAUCUACACACACAUGCACACACGCAUACACGCACACACACAUACGCACACACACAUCAACUCACACGGGCAAACGCG
RNAcentral lists this long non-coding RNA (8387 nucleotides) under Cucumis sativus (cucumber). RNAcentral describes it as "long non-coding RNA (CSAT_LNC003022)". The record is from RNAcentral. Lineage: Eukaryota; Viridiplantae; Streptophyta; Magnoliopsida; Cucurbitales; Cucurbitaceae.